This 450-nucleotide ribosomal RNA is filed under the name uncultured bacterium. Its description in RNAcentral is "partial 16S ribosomal RNA". It matches the Rfam family "Bacterial small subunit ribosomal RNA", at positions 354 to 796 of the family's 1533-position model. The record is from RNAcentral.
GUGGGGAAUUUUGGACAAUGGGCGCAAGCCUGAUCCAGCAAUGCCGCGUGUGUGAAGAAGGCCUUCGGGUUGUAAAGCACUUUUGGCAGGAAAGAAAUAGUGCGUGCUAAUACCAUGCGCGAAUGACGGUACCUGCAGAAUAAGCACCGGCUAACUACGUGCCAGCAGCCGCGGUAAGACGUAGGGUGCAAGCGUUAAUCGGAAUUACUGGGCGUAAAGCGUGCGCAGGCGGUUUUGUAAGACAGGUGUGAAAUCCCCGUGCUCAACCUGGGAACUGCACUUGUGACUGCAAGGCUAGAGUGUGUCAGAGGGAGGUGGAAUUCCGCGUGUAGCAGUGAGAUGCGUAGAGAUGCGGAGGAACACCGAUGGCGAAGGCAGCCUCCUGGGAGAACACUGACGCUCAGGCACGAAAGCGUGGGGAGCAAACAGGAUUAGAAACCCCAGUAGUCC